Molecule: non-coding RNA, 1741 nt
Organism: Peromyscus maniculatus bairdii (prairie deer mouse)
Lineage: Eukaryota; Metazoa; Chordata; Mammalia; Rodentia; Cricetidae
Source: RefSeq, a predicted model, not a curated record
CAGAGGAACGGCAGAGCCUUUUUACAGAUGUAUUUACAGAUGCUUGGCUAGUGUGUGCAGGAAAACAAAAAACAAAAGGCUAGCACACAGCUUCCUCCUCCCCUAGAGACUACCCGAGUUUCCAGAUUACGUAGUGGGGCCGCCAUCAGAGAGCACAGCCCACCUGGGUUGCCCAGCUAGUCUGUGUUUGUCUUCUUCAUCCCCAAAGUGCCACAGUCAUGUUCCCAGGACCAAAGUCAUGACAUGGCACAUGCUCGCUCAGUCAUAUCUGGUGUGACUUCUCCACGAUGGACUUCUAAGCCAUAAGCCAAAAUAAAUCUUUCCUUCCUUAGUUAAGCCAGGUCUUUUAACACAGCAAUGAGUAAGCCAUAGUUAACUACCUUUUGCUUUUGACCCAUUUAAUGAGCUUUCUCAUCAGGAGCCAAGUAACUUCACAAAAAUUGUGUAUUACAAAUAGACUUCAGUCUUUCAAGUGAGACAAAUCCUCAUUUUAAAUGCUGUUUACUGGGACUUAGGGAUGCAGCUCAGUAGUAGAGCUCUCAUGGAAGGUCCUGGGGUUUGAACUCCAGUACUGUUUGGAGACAGGGUCUCAUUAUGUAGCCUUGCAUGGUACUGAUUAUGUAGACUAGGCUGGCCUCAAAUUCAUAGAGCUCCUUGAGUACUGGGAGAGACUAAAGUUGUGCACCACCACACUUGGCUUCCCUGUUUGUAUCCAGCUUUGGGUUGUAUCUCAGUUAUUUAUCCCACUUGGACGUGCUGGAACAUAAUAUGGAGGAUAUAAGCAGUAAAAAGGAUCCUUAGCAUUGGGCAGUGAUUAACAUUUAUCAGUUUUUAUAAUAAUGAACUAUUCAGUGUUACAAGAAGUCAGAGUAUGGCCGCCUUUCUUACAACUUGCACUUCAGAUAAAUGAUGCUCCCAAUGUAGUCUGGACAGCACACUUGGAGAAAGGCCAGGUCUCUCGGCACACAAGUCUACACUGUCUACAGCUUCAGCUUUGAGAGGUACUUGUCCCAGAUUUGCAGUCUGUAGGGAAAGACUUGUCUCCUCUCUGCUACUUCUAAGACCACACUGUAAAGAAAACAUUGAGGAAGCACGCUAACCCUGUUCUCCACAGCUAGAGCCUGGCUAUCCAGAAUCCUAAGUAGGGUUCACUCACGGUCCCGGUAAGUGGUACUUUGUUAGGCUUUCGUGCACAGUCUCCAGAGACCUGGUGACUCUUACAGGCUCAGAGCUGCCAUGCUUGCCAACCUUACUCAAGUUGUUCUCUUUUCUGCCAGGGCAUUUGGUUUAUCCACUCUAAAAACACGCCAGUGUGUCCUUUUACUGCCAUUAAUCGAAGUUGGGGAUUACCGAAAGCUUUUCAUGUUCUGCUUUCAUGUACUUCCUUUUCUGUCUAGGCAGCAUAAUUCGCUGUAUGAGGCGCCUGGAAGAACUGCUUCGACAGAUGUGUCAAGCAGCAAAAGCCAUUGGAAACACAGAGCUGGAGAACAAAUUUGCUGAAGGAAUCACCAAAAUCAAGAGGGAUAUUGUAUUCGCUGCCAGCCUCUACUUAUAGAGUUCAACAUUAAUCACCAUCUGUCUGAUUACAGUUGACUGUAACUGCUUACAAGUGUCCAAGUGAUUCUUCCAUCAAGAGUUGUUUGAAGCAUUUUAUUAUAUUUAAAUCAGAUAUCAUUCUAAGAAGGCAUGUAACAUACACAUUUGUACAUAGCAUCUUUCAAUUAAAAAAUGUACAAGUGGG